Molecule: ribosomal RNA, 477 nt
Filed under: uncultured bacterium
Lineage: Bacteria
Description: bacterial SSU rRNA
Rfam family: Bacterial small subunit ribosomal RNA
Source: RNAcentral
GACGAACGCUGGCGGCGUGCUUAACACAUGCAAGUCGAACGGUAAGGCCCUUCGGGGUACACGAGUGGCGAACGGGUGAGUAACACGUGGGUGAUCUGCCCUGCACUUCGGGAUAAGCCUGGGAAACUGGGUCUAAUACCGGAUAGGACCAUGGACUUCACGGUUUGUGGUGGAAAGCUUUUGCGGUGUGGGAUGGGCCCGCGGCCUAUCAGCUUGUUGGUGGGGUAAUGGCCUACCAAGGCGACGACGGGUAGCCGGCCUGAGAGGGUGUCCGGCCACACUGGGACUGAGAUACGGCCCAGACUCCUACGGGAGGCAGCAGUGGGGAAUAUUGCACAAUGGGCGCAAGCCUGAUGCAGCGACGCCGCGUGAGGGAUGACGGCCUCGGGUUGUAACCUCUUUCAAUAGGGACGAAGCUCAAGUGACGGUACCUAUAGAAGAAGCACCGGCCAACUACGUGCCAGCAGCCGCGGUAAU